ACGGGUGUAGCUCAAUUGGUAGAGCGUUGGUCUCCAAAACCAAAGGUCGGGAGUUCGAGCCUCUCCACCCGUG
This 73-nucleotide transfer RNA is filed under the name Bacteroidales bacterium. RNAcentral's name for it is "tRNA-Trp". It matches the Rfam family "tRNA". From Rfam's summary of the family: Transfer RNA (tRNA) molecules are approximately 80 nucleotides in length. Their secondary structure includes four short double-helical elements and three loops (D, anti-codon, and T loops). Lineage: Bacteria; Pseudomonadati; Bacteroidota; Bacteroidia; Bacteroidales. The record is from RNAcentral.